RNAcentral lists this ribosomal RNA (271 nucleotides) under uncultured bacterium. RNAcentral's name for it is "partial 16S ribosomal RNA". It matches the Rfam family "Bacterial small subunit ribosomal RNA", at positions 524 to 794 of the family's 1533-position model. The record is from RNAcentral.
UACAGAGGGGGCAAGCGUUAUUCGGAAUUAUUGGGCGUAAAGGGCGCGUAGGUGGCUUGAUAAGUCAAAGGUGAAAUCCCUCGGCUCAACCGAGGAACUGCCUUUGAAACUGUCAGGCUUGAGGCCGGGAGAGGGUAGCGGAAUUCCCAGUGUAGCGGUGAAAUGCGUAGAUAUUGGGAGGAACACCGGUGGCGAAGGCGGCUACCUGGACCGGUUCUGACACUGAGGCGCGAAAGCGUGGGGAUCAAACAGGAUUAGAAACCCCUGUAGU